This 1314-nucleotide ribosomal RNA is filed under the name uncultured bacterium. Its description in RNAcentral is "bacterial SSU rRNA". It matches the Rfam family "Bacterial small subunit ribosomal RNA", at positions 80 to 1374 of the family's 1533-position model. The record is from RNAcentral.
UUGGAUCACCAGUGAGUGGCGGACGGGUGAGUAACAUGUAGGUAACCUGCCCCGGAGCGGGGGAUAACAUUUGGAAACAGAUGCUAAUACCGCAUAACAACAAAAGCCACAUGGCUUUUGUUUGAAAGAUGGCUUUGGCUAUCACUCUGGGAUGGACCUGCGGUGCGUUAGCUAGUUGGUAAGGUAACGGCUUACCAAGGCGAUGAUGCAUAGCCGAGUUGAGAGACUGAUCGGCCACAAUGGAACUGAGACACGGUCCAUACUCCUACGGGAGGCAGCAGUAGGGAAUCUUCCACAAUGGGCGCAAGCCUGAUGGAGCAACACCGCGUGAGUGAAGAAGGGUUUCGGCUCGUAAAGCUCUGUUGUUGGAGAAGAACGUGCGUGAGAGUAACUGUUCACGCAGUGACGGUAUCCAACCAGAAAGUCACGGCUAACUACGUGCCAGCAGCCGCGGUAAUACGUAGGUGGCAAGCGUUAUCCGGAUUUAUUGGGCGUAAAGCGAGCGCAGGCGGUUGCUUAGGUCUGAUGUGAAAGCCUUCGGCUUAACCGAAGAAGUGCAUCGGAAACCGGGCGACUUGAGUGCAGAAGAGGACAGUGGAACUCCAUGUGUAGCGGUGGAAUGCGUAGAUAUAUGGAAGAACACCAGUGGCGAAGGCGGCUGUCUGGUCUGCAACUGACGCUGAGGCUCGAAAGCAUGGGUAGCGAACAGGAUUAGAUACCCUGGUAGUCCAUGCCGUAAACGAUGAGUGCUAGGUGUUGGAGGGGUUUCCGCCCCUUCAAGUGCCGGGAGGCUAACGCAUUAAGCACUUCCGCGUGGGGAGUACGACCGCAAGGUUGAAACUCAAGGGAAUUGACGGGGGGCCCGCACAAGCGGUGGAGCAUGUGGUUUAUUUUGAAGCUACGCGAAGAGCCUUACCAGGUCUUGACAUCUUGCGCUAACCUUAGAGAUAAGGCGUUCCCUUCGGGGACGCAAUGACAGGUGGUGCAUGGUCGUCGUCAGCUCGUGUCGUGAGAUGUUGGGUUAAGUCCCGCAACGAGCGCAACCCUUGUUACUAGUUGCCAGCAUUAAGUUGGGCACUCUAGUGAGACUGCCGGUGACAAACCGGAGGAAGGUGGGGACGACGUCAGAUCAUCAUGCCCCUUAUGACCUGGGCUACACACGUGCUACAAUGGACGGUACAACGAGUCGCAAGCUCGCGAGAGUAAGCUAAUCUCUUAAAGCCGUUCUCAGUUCGGACUGUAGGCUGCAACUCGCGAACACGAAGUCGGAAUCGCUAGUAAUCGCGGAUCAGCAUGCCGCGGUGAAUACGUUCC